This is a long non-coding RNA of Columba livia (rock pigeon), 393 nucleotides long. RefSeq lists it as uncharacterized. The record is from RefSeq and is a predicted model, not a curated record. Lineage: Eukaryota; Metazoa; Chordata; Aves; Columbiformes; Columbidae. The transcript has 3 exons.
GUAUGAAGUAAUACACUGUCCACGACGGGAACAUCUGGGCGCUUGGCCGUCAGCAUGUGGUGCAAGUUGUCUUCAGUUUGUCUUGCAGCAGCCUGUACACAGGUUCCCUUUCUUCUCCAGUCUCCUUCAAGCAGUUUUGGAGAAUUUUGCUCCCCUUGGGAUGUUUCCACCACCGUGCUCCUAUUGGUGCUGCCGGAACGGCCCCAGCUCCCGGCGGUCCAGCUGUGGACGGGUGACACCCUCAGCCAUCUACCCCAGGAUGGGACAUGGCAGUCCCUGGGGGGACAGCCAGGACAGGGGACCCUCGCAAGGAUGCUGCCUUAGGCUGCCAAGCCCCGAAGGUGCCAGUUCUGCAUGGAGGGGACGAGCCCUCACCUUGGAGUCCAUCUGUGU